CCCUAGCCCCGAUAGCAGCGGCAUCCUUUUUUGCUGAGGAAUAACCCGGCAAAAAAGAUAUAGCGGAUAGCGGGAAACAGC
This 81-nucleotide small RNA is filed under the name Epilithonimonas mollis. RNAcentral describes it as "Chryseobacterium molle Flavo-1 RNA". It matches the Rfam family "Flavo-1 RNA". Lineage: Bacteria; Pseudomonadati; Bacteroidota; Flavobacteriia; Flavobacteriales; Weeksellaceae. The record is from RNAcentral.